CCUACGGGGGGCUGCAGUGAGGAAUAUUGGUCAAUGGACGAGAGUCUGAACCAGCCAAGUAGCGUGAAGGAUGACUGCCCUAUGGGUUGUAAACUUCUUUUAUAUGGGAAUAAAAUGUUCCACGUGUGGGAUUUUGUAUGUACCAUAUGAAUAAGGAUCGGCUAACUCCGUGCCAGCAGCCGCGGUAAUACGGAGGAUCCGAGCGUUAUCCGGAUUUAUUGGGUUUAAAGGGAGCGUAGGUGGAUUGUUAAGUCAGUUGUGAAAGUUUGCGGCUCAACCGUAAAAUUGCAGUUGAAACUGGCAGUCUUGAGUACAGUAGAGGUGGGCGGAAUUCGUGGUGUAGCGGUGAAAUGCUUAGAUAUCACGAGGAACUCCGAUUGCGAAGGCAGUUCACUGGACUGCAACUGACACUGAGGCUCGAAAGUGUGGGUAUCAAACAGGAUUAGAUACCCUUGUAGUC
This 460-nucleotide ribosomal RNA is filed under the name uncultured bacterium. Its description in RNAcentral is "partial 16S ribosomal RNA". It matches the Rfam family "Bacterial small subunit ribosomal RNA", at positions 338 to 795 of the family's 1533-position model. The record is from RNAcentral.